UACAGAGGGGGCUAGCGUUGUUCGGAAUUACUGGGCGUAAAGGGCGCGUAGGUGGCCUGUUAAGUCGAACGUGAAAUCCCCGGGCUCAACCCGGGAACUGCGUCCGAUACUGGAGGGCUCGAAUCCGGGAGAGGGAUGUGGAAUUCCAGGUGUAGCGGUGAAAUGCGUAGAUAUCUGGAGGAACACCGGUGGCGAAGGCGACAUCCUGGACCGGUAUUGACGCUGAGGCGCGAAAGCCAGGGGAGCAAACGGG
RNAcentral lists this ribosomal RNA (253 nucleotides) under uncultured bacterium. RNAcentral's name for it is "partial 16S ribosomal RNA". It matches the Rfam family "Bacterial small subunit ribosomal RNA", at positions 524 to 776 of the family's 1533-position model. The record is from RNAcentral.